Molecule: ribosomal RNA, 414 nt
Filed under: uncultured bacterium
Lineage: Bacteria
Description: bacterial SSU rRNA
Rfam family: Bacterial small subunit ribosomal RNA
Source: RNAcentral
UGGGGAAUAUUGCACAAUGGGGGAAACCCUGAUGCAGCGACGCCGCGUGAAGGAAGAAGUAUUUCGGUAUGUAAAGCUCUAUCAGCAGGGAAGAAAAUGACGGUACCUGACUAAGAAGCCCCGGCUAACUACGUGCCAGCAGCCGCGGUAAUACGUAGGGGGCAAGCGUUAUCCGGAUUUACUGGGUGUAAAGGGAGCGUAGACGGAGAGGCAAGUCUGGAGUGAAAACCCGGGGCUCAACCCCGGGACUGCUUUGGAAACUGUUGAUCUUGAGUACCGGAGAGGUAAGCGGAAUUCCUAGUGUAGCGGUGAAAUGCGUAGAUAUUAGGAGGAACACCAGUGGCGAAGGCGGCUUACUGGACGGUAACUGACGUUGAGGCUCGAAAGCGUGGGGAGCAAACAGGAUUAGAUACC